ACGCACGCUGGCGGCGUGCUUCACCCAUGCCAGUCGAACGCUGAAGCACCAGCUUGCUGGUGUGGAUGAGUGGCGAACGGGUGAGUAAUACGUGAGUAACCUGCCCUUGACUCUGGGAUAAGCCCGGGAAACUGGGUCUAAUACUGGAUGCUACAUGUCACCGCAUGGUGGUGUGUGGAAAGGGUUUACUGGUCUUGGAUGGGCUCACGGCCUAUCAGCUUGUUGGUGAGGUAAUGGCUCACCAAGGCGACGACGGGUAGCCGGCCUGAGAGGGUGACCGGCCACACUGGGACUGAGACACGGCCCAGACUCCUACGGGAGGCAGCAGGGGGGAAUAUUGCACAAUGGGCGAAAGCCUGAUGCAGCGACGCCGCGUGAGGGAUGACGGCCUUCGGGUUGUAAACCUCUUUCAGCAGGGAAGAAGCCACAAGUGACAGUACCUGCAGAAGAAGCGCCGGCUAACUACGUG
Molecule: ribosomal RNA, 469 nt
Filed under: uncultured bacterium
Lineage: Bacteria
Description: partial 16S ribosomal RNA
Rfam family: Bacterial small subunit ribosomal RNA
Source: RNAcentral